CAUUUCUUGACAAGUUUCAUGUUUCAUGUUACUACAAUUGCCUAACUAAAGAAGAGGGCAGCAACUAAAAUAGCAGGCACUAAUAAUUACUAGCUUUCACGUCUUAAUCUGUGGUUCAAAGAGAGCAUGUGGAGACAUUUAUACUAUCUCAUGUCAUUGCAUCAAUCAAUCAUUCCCUACAUCAUCACAGGCUUUUUCAUGGUAAUAUGGCGAGAGCUUCCCAUCCUUCUUGUUGGAUUUAAGCUUGCUCUCUACGCUAGCCUCUUGCAGCAUGUUC
This 277-nucleotide unclassified non-coding RNA is filed under the name Hevea brasiliensis (rubber tree). Lineage: Eukaryota; Viridiplantae; Streptophyta; Magnoliopsida; Malpighiales; Euphorbiaceae. The record is from RNAcentral.